GCCUAAGUGGCGGAAUUGGUAGACGCGCACGUUUCAGGGACGUGUGAGCUAUGCUCGUGUGGGUUCGACUCCCUCCUUAGGCA
This 83-nucleotide transfer RNA is filed under the name Marinoscillum furvescens DSM 4134. It matches the Rfam family "tRNA". Rfam says of the family: Transfer RNA (tRNA) molecules are approximately 80 nucleotides in length. Their secondary structure includes four short double-helical elements and three loops (D, anti-codon, and T loops). Lineage: Bacteria; Pseudomonadati; Bacteroidota; Cytophagia; Cytophagales; Reichenbachiellaceae. The record is from Rfam by way of RNAcentral.